Molecule: RNA transcript, 4774 nt
Organism: Felis catus (domestic cat)
Lineage: Eukaryota; Metazoa; Chordata; Mammalia; Carnivora; Felidae
Gene: MIX23
Gene name: mitochondrial matrix import factor 23
Exons: 7
Source: RefSeq, a predicted model, not a curated record
CUGACACACACUAGACAUUACUAAAUAUUUUUUGAAUGAAGAGUGUGUUAAUAAAUGAACUGUGCUGGGUUCUGAAUGCUUCAUAUGUUUAAAGAAGAAAGAUUGCUGAGGACUCUCAGCCAAGGAAAGAGUUUUAUCCAAAAGGAAUUACUCAAGGUGAUGAGGACGAUUGAUGACAGAAUAGUACAUGAAUUAAACACUACGGUUCCAACAGCUUCCUUUGCAGGGAAAAUUGAUGCAAGCCAAACCUGUAAACAACUUUAUGAGUCUUUGAUGGAAGCUCAUGCCAGCAGGGACAGAGUCAUAAAAAAUUGUAUAGCUCAGACCUCAGCAGUAGUAAAACACCUCCGAGAAGAGAGAGAAAAGAAUUUGGAUGAUUUAACGUUAUUAAAGCAACUUAGGAAAGAACAGACAAAGUUGAAAUGGAUGCAGUCAGAAUUGAAUGUUGAAGAAGUUGUAAAUGACAGGAGCUGGAAGGUGUUUAAUGAACGCUGCCGAAUUCACUUCAAGCCUCCAAAGAAUGAAUAAAAAGAUACUUUUUUAUAAAAGGACCGGGACAUCUCAUAAGAGCUAAGCAUGACAGAUAUCAACAAGUUCUGUAGGUCACAAGUCCAGGACUGGGUUCUCUGCUUGGGGUCACAUAGGCUGAAAUCAAGUCAGCUGUGAAGAAAGCAGAUUGAGAAAGGAGGAAACAAUGCCAGUGCUUUCUGAGGAUAAAGCAGGAUCUCAUUCAUGUGCACCACCUCGGGACCUAGGAGUUCAAAUAUGGUAGGACUGGGAUGAUCCAUUUAUAUAACUCAGUGUUGCAAUUUUCCUAUGCUUAGCUGGUUAGGACUGGUUAAUUUAUUUUUUGGCUCAAAACAUUUUUCAAAAAUGUUAUAUCUUAAGUAGUUAUUGAAUAAGCCAGAGUGUGUGUUGGUAAAAUGGUUUUGUCAAGAUUAAGUAAAUGCAUUUGAAUGUCUGUUGUUAUUAUUUAUUAAAUCAGAAUUGUCAUCUCAAUACAAAAGGAUGGAAAUUGUUCCCAAAUAUCUAUGGUUGACUUGAAAUGGUUCCCUCUCAACUUCAUAACGAUUUUCUUCAAUUACAACUGGAUAGUGCAUCAUUUAAUUUAUUGAUGUAGCUAUAAAAUUAAUCUUAAAAUUAUUUUAAAUGUUCCACUGUUUUUAAUUGUACCUGCAGUGUCACAAAUUGACUCCACUUAUUUGAAUUGUCAAAAUUAUUCAAAUUGUAUUAAUCAAAAGGCUUAUGUAAGGGACAAAAGUGGUUUAAGUUAUUUUUCCACCUUAAAUUACUUUAAGUCCUUCCAAAAAUCCAUUUAAUUAAAUAUAUAGAAUCACAAAGCUUUGAGGUACAAUAAGCUUCAAGAUAGCAUGUGGUUCAGCUCCAUGCCUUCAGGCAACUGAGAUACUAUCCUCCCGCUUCCCAUAGGAAGCAGCCAUGGCCACAAAUUAGACAUGCUUGGAACUGUUAAUGAAAUCUCUUUCUAUACAAUUUCUGAAAAUUGUAAUUUAUAAAAUAUAAUUGUCAUUUGGAAGAAAUCAAUGUAAGAAAGCUUUCUAAAUCCACAGGAAACAGAUGGUUUGAAUAUCCCAUCAUCUACCAAAUUUGAGAGUCUACCACUUGGGAAGUUUCAUGUGGGAUAGACAUCUUCAUUUAGCACAACCAGAGGGACAAAAUAUAUGGUGGAGGUGACAGGGAACAUCAUACAAAGUGAGAAAUACAGUAUCUUUUAGUGCCAAGGUGGAUGUUGAACUCUAACCUUAAUGUAGUAAUUUAUUCCGGCAACCACUUGAGUUUUGUACUCUAUAGCUUCAAAUUUUUGGUAAGUCUCAUUUGUUUUUUCUUCAAGCUGAGGUUUAACCUUAAGAAGAGAAAAGAGGAAACACAUUAUCAAAGCUAUAUUGGACUCCAUUUAUGUGAUUUACAAGCCUGGGAACCUCGUGUUUCUGAAGGUCCUUAAACAUGAUAAUGACAGCUAUUUCCAGUAUUUCAAGGAUAAUAAGAUUACAUGGGCUAACUAAAAUGUCAAAUUUUGUUGCGUUACAUCAGCUUGUGGCAAUAUAUGGUAACGUUUUCACUAGUAAAACUCUAAUAUAUGUAUCUUUGAUUGAUAAAGAUGGGAGAGCUAUAAUUCCUAUUUUAUUUAAAAAUUUUUUAUUUUGAAAUAAUUUCAGACUCAAAGUUACAAAAAUAGUGUCAAGAUCCUUAAUUUAAGCACAGCUGUAAUUCACUUUGCCACGUAAGAUAACACAUUUACAGGAUUCACGGAUUAGGAUGUUGGCCACCAUUCUGUCUACCACAGGGGGAUUAUAAGCUUUGAUGGCAGCGUUCCCAAACCAAACAUGACAAGGGAAUGAAAGUCUCAAAUUCAAUAUGUGAACUUUCACUUAAUCUACCAGUUUUCAGUAUUGGUCCUUCAUUCCUGCCCUCAGCUGAGCCUGAUAAUGCUAGUGUCCACUGUGUUCUCUCUGACUCAAUUUCUGCUAAGAGUAGAUCUUCAGAAUUCUGUGAGGGUGGAGGAUGGGUAAUAGGUUAUCAUCUUUCAGCUUGGAAGGGAGUGAAAGGGAAAGAUCUGGGGCAAGCUCCUCAUACAGAUCUGUCAUCAGUUUUCCUGGUGGGAGCCCCAUGCCUCACUCUUGUCAUCAUAAGUUUCUGGCAUUGCUAGUGCUUGAGCCACUUUGGAAUUCUGCACCAUGAAUCCACUUACUUCUGGCUCAUCAUUCCUGUCUGUGGUUUAGGCUUUGUCUAGAUGGUCCAGUAAUUUUCCCUUGUUCAUCUGUUUUCCAUCUUCCAAAGUUUUGUCAGUAUCUCUGAGGUGGUAUUUGCCUAUCUCCUGUUGUCUUUCUAUUUGUUGGCUUUAUACCCUUUACCCUGCAAUAUUUUCCUAUCAUUUAGAAGGAAAAGGAAAUAGACGUGUAUGCUCGAUUAUACCUUGUUUAUUGGGAAGUUGCCUCCCUGCCCAUCACUAAAGCAUUUCACAUGUUUUAGGCAGGUCUCCCAUGCAUCUAGGGUUCUCCCAAGGCCAUAUCAAGUCCUUCCCAUCAGUGGGCAGAUGUCCUGAAUCCUUUUCUAUCAGCACCUCAGUUUGGGUACCAGAACUGUUUUCAAAUAUGUAGACAUUUCCAAACUCUUUGAGUUCUCAGACUACUUUGGAGGCUACAACACUUCAUAGACCACCACCCAUUUCUCCUGUGACCUUCAGAAUAGAUGGGAAGAAUGUGAUACUGCUUUCUUGAGAUGGAAAAUAAAGCUCCAAAGUCGACAAAGGAAGAAGACAAAUCAUGAGGAAAAAAGAAACCAAACAAACGGAAAUGGGAAGAGGUAGGGUGCAGGAGAGCAGGAAAAAAGUGACAGGAGUGCCGAGAGAAGUCAAGUAAGGAGAGGAGUUACUGUCCUGUUGCUUCCUCUGUCUAACCCUUCUGAGCCAAUAUGGGGUACCAGUCAAGUUAGGAGCUAAGUUGGAAAGGGUUAAUCUCUACACUAAACCCAACAUUAUCUAUUUAAACCUCAUUUUACAAAUGAGGGACCUAAGGCUGUGAGGAGAACAUGACUGCUUAAGGCUGAAAAAUUGUUAAUUACAGUUAUUUAAGGUUUUAAAUCCCUUGCUUGAUAGCUUAAGUAUCUGAUUUAUCAGUGGCAGUGAUCUGUAUUCCUUCUGGUUUCCAGUCUUUUGGUCGUGUUUUUUUUUUAUUGCCUAUCAGAAAAUUUUAUUUACGUCUUAAAUUCGAUCAAAAUCUGCAACCUUUCCACUGCAUCUAUAUAGUCCACAAGUCCAGAAUUUUCCAUAAGAGAGCUGACUUCAAAUGUCCGGUUUGUUUCAGUAAGUGCAUUGGCACCUAUCAGUCUGUGUGCCAUGAUUUCAGGUUCACUCUACUUAUAACCUGUAGCCUUGCUCUCUCUUCCCAGUAGAACAGACUGGUAUUAUUCUAACGUUGGAUGCUAUGAACCUGGGGUAAUGAGGCUUAAGCUGAGGAGCAGGAAAGGGGGAAGAAUAGGAAGGAACUGGUCAGUGAAACUUUAAUUUUCAGAAGGCAACUUGGUGCUGAAAGACUCCCCAAGGGUGGGUGCUGAGAGGGUAAAGCCAGCUGGGAGUGGUGGUCUGGGACCUGGUGGUACAUAGACAGACCUCGAGCUGAACACAGUUGACAUUCACUUUCCUCAGCCUACCAUGCAUGGUGGUGGCUGAGAUGCUGGAAGAAGAAACAGUGUGGGUUUGUCAUUUGAGCUCCAGCCAGUGGAAGGAUCCUAUCAGGAAGGAGCAGCUGGCAAAAUACAAUUACCCUAGAGUUGUUCACAUUUUUUUUCUUUUCUUUUCUUUCCUUUCCUUUUCUUUUCUUUUCUUUUCUUUUCUUUUCUUUUCUUUUCUUUUCUUUUUUUUAAUUGCUGCAGAGCAUGAAUCUUGGCGAAUGGUUAGUUCUCUGGGAUCUGAGGAUUCUAGCCAUGCUGCACCUAACACCUAUGGCUUUUCCCUAUCUGUAAUCAUUCUGCAGAAAUAUUGGGCUAUGCAUAAUUUAGGGAAGAAUGGAUAGAAAUGUGAUAGAGGCAACAUGGGUAAGCUAUAUUUUGGGAUGUUUUACAGAGUAAGGAAGGAGAGUUUGGGCAGUAGCAUGAAAGUAUAGUAGGGCUGAUGAGAAGUGACUUAGACAUUUGUCAUCUGACCAUGUUUUGAGGGAAGGGACAAGUAUGGGGCAAGGCAACUGGUACGCAAGAAAUGAUGGCAUCUGACAUGAGAGAAGAAAGGUGGACUGAAGAACAGAGGGCAGAGUCUUAGGCU